RNAcentral lists this ribosomal RNA (371 nucleotides) under uncultured bacterium. Its description in RNAcentral is "bacterial SSU rRNA". It matches the Rfam family "Bacterial small subunit ribosomal RNA", at positions 525 to 896 of the family's 1533-position model. The record is from RNAcentral.
ACGAACUGUGCGAACGUUAUUCGGAAUCACUGGGCUUAAAGGGUGCGUAGGCGGCGACUCAAGUCAGGUGUGAAAUCCCCCGGCUCAACCGGGGAACAGCGCUUGAAACUAGGUCGCUCGAGUGAGGUAGGGGUGUAUGGAACUUCCGGUGGAGCGGUGAAAUGUGUAGAUAUCGGAAGGAACGCCGGCGGCGAAAGCGGUACACUGGGCCUUGUCUGACGCUGAGGCACGAAAGCUAGGGGAGUGAACGGGAUUAGAUACCCCGGUAAUCCUAGCCGUAAACACUGAGCACUGGAGGGGAGGGGUUUCGGCCUUUCCCCUCGCAGCGAAAGCGUUAAGUGCUCCGCCUGGGGAGUAUGGUCGCAAGGCUG